This 253-nucleotide ribosomal RNA is filed under the name uncultured bacterium. Its description in RNAcentral is "partial 16S ribosomal RNA". It matches the Rfam family "Bacterial small subunit ribosomal RNA", at positions 524 to 776 of the family's 1533-position model. The record is from RNAcentral.
UACGUAGGGUGCAAGCGUUGUCCGGAAUUAUUGGGCGUAAAGAGCGUGUAGGCGGUUUGGUAGGUCCGCUGUGAAAACUCGAGGCUCAACCUCGAGACGCCGGUGGAAACCAUCAGACUAGAGUCCGGAAGAGGAGAGUGGAAUUCCUGGUGUAGCGGUGAAAUGCGCAGAUAUCAGGAAGAACACCCGUGGCUAAGGCGGCUCUCUAGUACGGUACUGACGCUGAGACGCGAAAGCGUGGGGAGCAAACAGG